UGCAGUCGAGCGGUAACACAGAGAGCUUGCUCUCGGGUGACGAGCGGCGGACGGGUGAGUAAUGUCUGGGAAACUGCCUGAUGGAGGGGGAUAACUACUGGAAACGGUAGCUAAUACCGCAUAACGUCGCAAGACCAAAGUGGGGGACCUUCGGGCCUCAUGCCAUCAGAUGUGCCCAGAUGGGAUUAGCUAGUAGGUGGGGUAAUGGCUCACCUAGGCGACGAUCCCUAGCUGGUCUGAGAGGAUGACCAGCCACACUGGAACUGAGACACGGUCCAGACUCCUACGGGAGGCAGCAGUGGGGAAUAUUGCACAAUGGGCGCAAGCCUGAUGCAGCCAUGCCGCGUGUAUGAAGAAGGCCUUCGGGUUGUAAAGUACUUUCAGCGAGGAGGAAGGCGUUAAGGUUAAUAACCUUGGCGAUUGACGUUACUCGCAGAAGAAGCACCGGCUAACUCCGUGCCAGCAGCCGCGGUAAUACGGAGGGUGCAAGCGUUAAUCGGAAUUACUGGGCGUAAAGCGCACGCAGGCGGUCUGUCAAGUCGGAUGUGAAAUCCCCGGGCUCAACCUGGGAACUGCAUUCGAAACUGGCAGGCUAGAGUCUUGUAGAGGGGGGUAGAAUUCCAGGUGUAGCGGUGAAAUGCGUAGAGAUCUGGAGGAAUACCGGUGGCGAAGGCGGCCCCCUGGACAAAGACUGACGCUCAGGUGCGAAAGCGUGGGGAGCAAACAGGAUUAGAUACCCUGGUAGUCCACGCCGUAAACGAUGUCGACUUGGAGGUUGUGCCCUUGAGGCGUGGCUUCCGGAGCUAACGCGUUAAGUCGACCGCCUGGGGAGUACGGCCGCAAGGUUAAAACUCAAAUGAAUUGACGGGGGCCCGCACAAGCGGUGGAGCAUGUGGUUUAAUUCGAUGCAACGCGAAGAACCUUACCUGGUCUUGACAUCCACAGAACUUUCCAGAGAUGGAUUGGUGCCUUCGGGAACUGUGAGACAGGUGCUGCAUGGCU
Molecule: ribosomal RNA, 1002 nt
Filed under: Klebsiella aerogenes
Lineage: Bacteria; Pseudomonadati; Pseudomonadota; Gammaproteobacteria; Enterobacterales; Enterobacteriaceae
Description: bacterial SSU rRNA
Rfam family: Bacterial small subunit ribosomal RNA
Source: RNAcentral